Molecule: long non-coding RNA, 2243 nt
Filed under: Homo sapiens (human)
Lineage: Eukaryota; Metazoa; Chordata; Mammalia; Primates; Hominidae
Description: non-protein coding SSTR5-AS1:9
Source: RNAcentral
AGACGGACGGCUGCUGUCGAUAUGGCGACAGCUGCCCUGUGGCCGCCCCUGCACCCAGAUGGCGCCUGGCCUGGCCGCAGCAUCCUGGAGUCUGAGGCCAGCACCUGCGUCUCCCUGAAGCCCCUCAGAGCCUGCCCUGCAGUGCUGCUGCCCUCGUCUACCAGGUAAGGAGCCGAGGCCCAGCGGGCGGCCCCUCCCGGGACACACAGGGAGAGGUGGCAGUGGAGAGAGAUGGGGCCGGUGGUCGGCCCCCUGUCCGCCUGGGAUGAAUGGCACCUGGCUAGGACGACCUGAGAAGUGGCUGGACGUGGUGUCGCCACCGCAGCCUCGAGGGACUUUCACCGGGGUGCCCGCUGCCCGUUGGCCCCGAACCUCUCUCCAGGCCAGCGCAGGGACCGUCACCCCCACAGCAAUGACAGACAUCUGUAAACCCAGGCGGGGGCACAGCACAGGGCCAGAGAGACACCACCCUCCCCACGGGGCGGCUGCAGAGAAGCAAACACACAAACCACACAGAGUGGUCACACGGAGCCCCAGGAGUCACACAGGGCGAAGGAGGGGGGACUGCGGGCGGGGGCUGCACACCCUGCAGCCCGGAGGAGAAGCCGCGGUGGGGGGUGUGGGCGGGUCAGAGGCAUAGCGUAUGGGGGCUGCAGCCACCUGACACUGCCCAGUCCCAUCGGAGCUUUGAGCCCCCUCCCAGGCCCUGGAACCCCCCACUGUGGCCCAGAGAGAGAACAGGGGAGACUUGGGGGAGGGGAGGGAGGGGUGUCCAUGGAGAAGGGUGGGCUGGGAAUGGUGACGUCUGUGGGUCCAAGGCCAUGGGCACGUGUGUACCUCGUAUAUUGUUUUUGUAUUUUUCUGCAUGUUUGAAAUCAUUCAUAAAAAUGAUACUCCGGCUGGGUGCAGUGGCUCAAGCCUGUCAUCCCAGCACUGUGGGAGGCCGAGGCGGGUGGAUCACCUGAGGACAGGAGUUCAAGACCAGCCUGGGCAACAUGGUGAGACCCCCGUCUCUACAAAAAAUACAAAAAUUAGCCAAGUGUGGUGGCGGGCGCCUGUAGUCCCAGCCACUGAGGAGGCUGAGUCAGGAGGAUCAUUUGAGCCCAGGAGGUUGAGGCUGCAGUGAGCUGUGAUUACACCACUGCACGCCAGCCUGGGUGACUGAGCAAGACCCUGUCUCAAAAAGAAGAUCAAUGCCUCCCCUGACGAGUGGGGCGGAGGAAGUCCGGAUGUUUGGGUUGACCCUGGAGCUGUGUGACUCUGGGGGUGGCCAGCAGAGAAUCAAAGUGUCCCCUAGGAUCCAGACCAGGGACAAGCCCCUCCCUGGGGGACCUCGGCCUGAGCAGGGGUGGAGCCGGCUGUGGUGACCUCAGCAUGUGCCGUCUGGAGCCCUGGGGCUGCUCAGCUGACCGGCCCUGACCCUGGAGGCACCUCAGAGCACAGGACGACCCCAGCAGCUGCCAGGAAAGGCCACAGUCCUGGCUGGGGGCUGUGGGGCUGGGCCAAGGCCACUGAAAUCUGGUAGACAAGGAAAGGAGAGCUGGGGACGGGGGAGCCCAGAACACAAGGCUGACAGCACAAAGAGAAAGCCCUCUGUCCCCAACAAACCUAGAAAUCAACAUCCCCAAGCUCGCAUGGCCCAAACACACUAAGAAAUACGACUCAGAAAAUCAACAGGGCCAGUGGACCCAUGGAUCCAUCUCAGGGAGAUAAAAAUAACGAGCAAACAGGUACGCUUAGGCUAUGUUUAAAUAUGUGCAGGAUCCACAGAGACAGCAUGGAUAAAAUGUUAGGAAAUACAUUUGGCUUCUGUCUAAGGAGUAAAAUGAACAGGCAUCUAUUUUUAAAAAUUACAAAUCCUGGAUGUAAAAAAUACAAUCAUUUAAGUGGAAAAAAACACUACAAAAGUGGUCAGAACCAACUCCAGUGUGGACAGCACUGAAGAGAGAAUUGGUGAAUGGGAAGAGGGUUGAAAGAUUCACUGGAGCAGGGUGCUGGCACAAGGUCCAGAGAGGGCUCUGUGGGGUGGGCAGGGGGAGAGCAUGGCUGGGCUCCCCCAGAACUGGCGACAGGAUCCCUUCUGGGAGCGCACCUGUCCCAAGCAGCAUAAAGGAAUGAAAGAGCAUCCCCAUCAAGCUGCGGCAUCUGGGCAGGGACGCCAGCCAGAGAGACACCAGCCAGAGAGACAGGACGGAUUCCCACAGGCAGGAGCCAGAGUGCAGCAGAAUCCUCAGCAGGGACGG